UACGUAGGGGGCGAGCGUUGUCCGGAUUUAUUGGGCGUAAAGAGCGUGUAGGCGGCCAGGUAGGUCUGCUGUGAAAACUCGAGGCUCAACCUCGAGACGUCGGCGGAAACCAUCUGGCUAGAGUCCGGAAGAGGAGAGUGGAAUUCCUGGUGUAGCGGUGAAAUGCGCAGAUAUCAGGAAGAACAUCAGUGGCGAAGGCGGCCUGCUGGGCUGUUGCUGACGCUGAGGCGCGACAGCGUGGGGAGCAAACAGG
This 253-nucleotide ribosomal RNA is filed under the name uncultured bacterium. RNAcentral's name for it is "partial 16S ribosomal RNA". It matches the Rfam family "Bacterial small subunit ribosomal RNA", at positions 524 to 776 of the family's 1533-position model. The record is from RNAcentral.